GUGCUCACUUCAGCAGCACAUACACUAAAAUUGGAACGAUACAGAGAAGAUUAGCAUGGCCCCUGUGCAAAGAUGACGCAAAUUCGUCAAGCAUUUCUUAUUUAA
This is a small nuclear RNA of Cebus imitator (Panamanian white-faced capuchin), 105 nucleotides long. NCBI's taxonomy places the organism in Eukaryota, Metazoa, Chordata, Mammalia, Primates, Cebidae. The record is from RefSeq and is a predicted model, not a curated record.